UACAGAGGUGGCGAGCGUUGUUCGGAUUCAUUGGGUGUAAAGGGUGCGUAGGCGGUUUGGAAAGUCAUAUGUGAAAGCCCACAGCUCAACUGUGGAAUUGCAUCUGAAACUUCCAGACUCGAGUGCGAGAGAGGUGAAGGGAAUUCCCGGUGUAAGGGUGAAAUCUGCAGAGAUCGGGAGGAACACCUGUAGCGAAGGCGCUUCACUGGCUCGUAACUGACGCUGAGUGCACGAAGGCGUGGGGAGCAAACGGG
This 254-nucleotide ribosomal RNA is filed under the name uncultured bacterium. Its description in RNAcentral is "partial 16S ribosomal RNA". It matches the Rfam family "Bacterial small subunit ribosomal RNA", at positions 524 to 776 of the family's 1533-position model. The record is from RNAcentral.